This 253-nucleotide ribosomal RNA is filed under the name uncultured bacterium. Its description in RNAcentral is "partial 16S ribosomal RNA". It matches the Rfam family "Bacterial small subunit ribosomal RNA", at positions 524 to 776 of the family's 1533-position model. The record is from RNAcentral.
UACGUAGGGUGCGAGCGUUAAUCGGAAUUACUGGGCGUAAAGCGUGCGCAGGCGGUUCGUUGUGUCGGCGGUGAAAGCCCCGGGCUCAACCUGGGAAUGGCCGUUGAAACUGGCGAACUGGAGUGUGGCAGAGGGGGGUGGAAUUCCUGGUGUAGCGGUGAAAUGCGCAGAUAUCAGGAGGAACACCGGUGGCGAAGGCGGGUCUCUGGGCCGAUACUGACGCUGAGGAGCGAAAGCGUGGGGAGCGAACAGG